GCUACGGGAGGCAGCAGUGAGGAAUAUUGGUCAAUGGCCGGAAGGCUGAACCAGCCAAGCCGCGUGAAGGACGAAGGUGCCAAGCAUUGUAAACUUCUUUUGUCAAGGGACAAAAUCAGGCUCGAGAGCCUGACCGAGGGUACUUGAAGAAAAAGCAUCGGCUAACUCCGUGCCAGCAGCCGCGGUAAGACGGAGUAUGCGAGCGUUAUCCGGAUUUAUUGGGUUUAAAGGGUGCGUAGGCGGGCUGUUAAGUCAGCGUUAAAAGCCCGGUGCUAAACCCCGGCGAGCCGGUGAAACUGGCUGUCGUGAAAUGUCGAGAGGUAUGCGGAAUGCGCAGGGUAGCGGUGAAAUGCUUAGAUAUUGCGCAGAACUCCGAUUGCGAAGGCAGCAUACCGGCGGCGAUCUGACGCUGAGGCACGAAAGCGUGGGUAUCGAACAGGAUUAGAUACCCGGGUAGUC
Molecule: ribosomal RNA, 459 nt
Filed under: uncultured bacterium
Lineage: Bacteria
Description: partial 16S ribosomal RNA
Rfam family: Bacterial small subunit ribosomal RNA
Source: RNAcentral